RNAcentral lists this ribosomal RNA (253 nucleotides) under uncultured bacterium. RNAcentral's name for it is "partial 16S ribosomal RNA". It matches the Rfam family "Bacterial small subunit ribosomal RNA", at positions 524 to 776 of the family's 1533-position model. The record is from RNAcentral.
UACGUAGGGCGCAAGCGUUAUCCGGAAUUAUUGGGCGUAAAGAGCUCGUAGGCGGUUUGUCGCGUCUGCCGUGAAAGUCCGGGGCUCAACUCCGGAUCUGCGGUGGGUACGGGCAGACUAGAGUGAUGUAGGGGAGACUGGAAUUCCUGGUGUAGCGGUGAGAUGCGCAGAUAUCGAGAGGAACACCAGUGGCGAAGGCGAGUCUCUGGACAUUUCCUAACGCUGAGGCACGAAAGCCAGGGGAGCAAACGGG